GACGAACGCUGGCGGCGUGCCUAAUACAUGCAAGUUGAGCGCUGAAGGUUGGUACUUGUACCCACUGGAUGAGCAGCGAACGGGUGAGUAACGCGUGGGGAAUCUGCCUUUGAGCGGGGGACAACAUUUGGAAACGAAUGCUAAUACCGCAUAAAAACUUUAAACACAAGUUUUAAGUUUGAAAGAUGCAAUUGCAUCACUCAAAGAUGAUUCCGCGUUGUAUUAGCUAGUUGGUGAGGUAAAGGCUCACCAAGGCGAUGAUACAUAGCCGACCUGAGAGGGUGAUCGGCCACAUUGGGACUGAGACACGGCCCAAACUCCUACGGGAGGCAGCAGUAGGGAAUCUUCGGCAAUAGACGAAAGUCUGACCGAGCAACGCCGCGUGAGUGAAGAAGGUUGUCGGAUCGUAAAACUCUGUUGGUAGAGAAGAACGUUGGUGAGAGUGGAAAGCUCAUCAAGUGACGGUAACUACCCAGAAAGGGACGGCUAACUACGUG
RNAcentral lists this ribosomal RNA (497 nucleotides) under uncultured bacterium. Its description in RNAcentral is "partial 16S ribosomal RNA". It matches the Rfam family "Bacterial small subunit ribosomal RNA", at positions 28 to 507 of the family's 1533-position model. The record is from RNAcentral.